AUUGAACGCUGGCGGCAUGCCUUACACAUGCAAGUCGAACGGUAACGGGCCUUCGGGUGCCGACGAGUGGCGCACGGGUGAGUAAUACAUCGGAACGUGCCCGAUCGUGGGGGAUAACGAGGCGAAAGCUUUGCUAAUACCGCAUACGAUCUACGGAUGAAAGCAGGGGCCGGAAGGCCUUUCCGGGACGGGGCGGGCCGAUGGCGGAUUGGGUAGUUGGUGGGAUAAAAGCUUACCAAGCCGACGAUCGGUAGCGGGUCUGAGAGGUUGAUCAGCCACACUGGGACUGAGACACGGCCCAGACUCCUACGGGAGGCAGCAGUGGGGAAUUUUGGACAAUGGGCGCAAGCCUGAUCCAGCCAUGCCGCGUGCAGGAUGAAGGCCUUCGGGUUGUAAACUGCUUUUGUACGGAAAGAAAAGCCUUCUUUUAAUACAGGAGGGUCAUGACGGUACCGGAAGAAUAAGCACCGGCUAACUACGUG
RNAcentral lists this ribosomal RNA (482 nucleotides) under uncultured bacterium. Its description in RNAcentral is "partial 16S ribosomal RNA". It matches the Rfam family "Bacterial small subunit ribosomal RNA", at positions 30 to 507 of the family's 1533-position model. The record is from RNAcentral.